This 372-nucleotide long non-coding RNA is filed under the name Pan troglodytes (chimpanzee). RNAcentral describes it as "lincRNA". The record is from RNAcentral. Lineage: Eukaryota; Metazoa; Chordata; Mammalia; Primates; Hominidae.
CCCUCUGUGGAGGAGCCUGAGAGAAAGGCUCACGGAGGGCAGAGGGUGGAGGGUGUGGGACCAAGUUCCUUAGAUAAGGCUGUGGCCCCAUGGUAAGGGUCUGGGGAAGUGAUUCAUCCAGGUGGCGCUAGGAGGAAUCUUCGCCGCAGAGGGCAUUCGAGAGAUGACAACUCUAGACAUCCAUGCAACUUCUGUUCUUGUGCUCCUGCUGUUUUCAAAUUCCACAGUCACAGACUGCACCCUGGAAAACUCAGGACACCCUAGAGUGAACUGCUCUGAAGAACAAAGUUGCUACUUGCUUGCUACCUCUGGUUGCUACCCCUGGUUGUGUUUGGUUGCCACAUAAUGAAAUGAUUUUCCUUCCCUCCUUUA